Molecule: ribosomal RNA, 300 nt
Filed under: uncultured Methanosarcina sp.
Lineage: Archaea; Methanobacteriati; Methanobacteriota; Methanomicrobia; Methanosarcinales; Methanosarcinaceae
Description: bacterial SSU rRNA
Rfam family: Bacterial small subunit ribosomal RNA (bases 52-300)
Source: RNAcentral
AGGAUGUAGAGUCCAGAGGCGGGGGUCACACGCGGGGGGGAAGGGUUAAGCGGAAUGUCGGGGCGGAAAGCGUGGUCAGGCGGUUAGAUAAGACAGAUGUGAAAGCCCCGGGCUCAACCUUGGAACUGCAUUUGUGACUGUAUGGCUAGAGUACGGCAGAGGGGGAUGGAAUUCCGCGUGUAGCAGUGAAAUGCGUAGAUAUGCGGAGGAACACCGAUGGCGAAGGCAAUCCCCUGGGCCUGUACUGACGCUCAUGCACGAAAGCGUGGGGAGCAAACAGGAUUAGAUACCCUUGUAGUC